AACGAACGUUAGCGGCGCGCCUAACACAUGCAAGUCGAGCGAGAAAGGGCUUCGGCCCCGGUAAAGCGGCGCACGGGUGAGUAACACGUGGGUAACCUGCCCUCGAGUCGGGGAUAACAUUCCGAAAGGAGUGCUAAUACCGGAUAAGACCACGACCUCGAAAGAGGAAGCGGUCGAAGCUGGCCUCUAUAUAUAAGCUAGCGCUUGAGGAUGGGCCCGCGGCGCAUCAGGUAGUUGGUGAGGUAAUGGCUCACCAAGCCUAAGACGCGUAGCUGGUCUGAGAGGAUGAUCAGCCACACUGGAACUGAGACACGGCCCAGACUCCUACGGGAGGCAGCAGUGGGGAAUCUUGCGCAAUGGGCGAAAGCCUGACGCAGCGACGCCGCGUGAGUG
Molecule: ribosomal RNA, 393 nt
Filed under: uncultured bacterium
Lineage: Bacteria
Description: bacterial SSU rRNA
Rfam family: Bacterial small subunit ribosomal RNA
Source: RNAcentral